GCUCCUUAUUGUUAUUAUAGUACUUGCAGCUUGAUUUGAAGAUUUCGAAACUCUAUUAGAAACAGCCUCUCUAGCCCACAAAGGUAAAACGUAAGGUCCGCGUACAUCCUACCUUCUCCAAACCCCACUUGUAGGUUUACAUUGCAUAUGUUUUUGCUCUAGAGCAUCAUCCUAAACUAAGCCAGGAAGAUAUCUUUGUGACUCAUGUUGUUUGAAUGCUGAGCCUGGCUUGGCAUAAAACUGUGCUACCUCGAAUCUUUGGUCGUGCAAAAAAAGGGAAGUUUUGUAUAGGGUUUGUUUUUAAUAUUGUAAAUUUGGUGUUUAGGUUGCUAGGUAUGUUGCUGCUUUGUAAUGACACUAUU
This 362-nucleotide unclassified non-coding RNA is filed under the name Hevea brasiliensis (rubber tree). The record is from RNAcentral. Lineage: Eukaryota; Viridiplantae; Streptophyta; Magnoliopsida; Malpighiales; Euphorbiaceae.